RNAcentral lists this ribosomal RNA (418 nucleotides) under uncultured eukaryote. Its description in RNAcentral is "SSU rRNA". It matches the Rfam family "Eukaryotic small subunit ribosomal RNA", at positions 567 to 990 of the family's 1831-position model. The record is from RNAcentral.
CCAGCACCUGCGGUAAUUUCAGCUCCAAUAGCGUAUAUUAAAGUUGUUGCAGUUAAAAAGCUCGUAGUUGGAUUUCUGGAGGGAGCGGCCGGUCCGCCGUUUCGGUGUGCACUGGCCGGGCCCACCUUGGUGCCGGGGACGGGCUCCUGGGCUUGACUGUCCGGGACCCGGAGUCGGCGAGGUUACUUUGAGUAAAUUAGAGUGUUCAAAGCAGGCCUACGCUCUGAAUACAUUAGCAUGGAAUAACACGAUAGGACUCUGGCCUAUCCUGUUGGUCUGUAGGACCGGAGUAAUGAUUAAGAGGGACAGUCGGGGGCAUUCGUAUUUCAUUGUCAGAGGUGAAAUUCUUGGAUUUAUGAAAGACGAACUACUGCGAAAGCAUUUGCCAAGGAUGUUUUCAUAAAUAAAGAACGAAAGU